This is a long non-coding RNA of Gossypium arboreum, 1131 nucleotides long. RefSeq lists it as uncharacterized. The record is from RefSeq and is a predicted model, not a curated record. The transcript has 3 exons. Lineage: Eukaryota; Viridiplantae; Streptophyta; Magnoliopsida; Malvales; Malvaceae.
CCUGGCAAUCUAUUUAAUCACAACUUUAAACUUUUAAUCCAUUAAUAUAAAAACUGUACUAAUUAUAGUUAAAAUACCAGUAAGGCAUUUGUCAUGUAAUUUCAUUAUUUGGUUUCGAGGGAUAAAAGAUAUUCUGGAUUCCUAUUUGACCUUUUCGGCCUUUGUGCUAAAUUUGUACCACCAGCCUUGAUGGUCUCUCCCUUUCUUUAUCAUUUCUAUUCUUGCUACUUAAUUAUCAAAAAUGGGUGCACCAACAGACUCAACCCUCGAUCUCGAUGAACAGAUCUCACAGCUGAUUCAAUGUAAGCCACUUUCAGAGCAGCAGGUACUUUUUUUUUUUCACGAUCUGUUUGUUUCUCAAGAAAGUAUGGAAAUUUUGAACACUUAAUUUAAUUGUAUAAUUAUUUUAAUAGAUUAGGCGAUAUUUGGCUGCGAAAUGAAUACCAAAACGAUUUUGAAUUGAAUUUGUUUUAAGAUAUUAUUCCAAUAGCAUUAGUUUCUACCGCCGUGCAUGUGAACUUUUAGUUAUAAUUAAUGAAAAAAAUCAGCUUUUUUCUCUCUUCCAUUUAAAACAUUUAUAUAUUCUUUUGAUUGAUUUGAUGUAGUUGAUUUCAAAAGAACUUGGUGUAUUUGCAAGACUUUUCUACGUUUUACUUGUAUUGUUUUGUUCUCAGGUUGAUCAAUAGAAGUCCUCGUUUUUCUUCCCUGUUUCAUCUGGGUUAUAAUUGGUUGUAACUCUGUUUUCAUGUUAUCUUGUUUAGGUCAGAGCAUUAUGCGACAAGGCAUAAAAUAUGCAUCUCAAAGACUAGAUACAUUUGCAUGUGUUAGGCAAAAUGGUUGAACAAGCAAUUGAGCAAAUUAUGGCCUUUUGUUGCAGAGGUGCAUACUUUGGCUUUCUGUUCCGGUGUUUUGGAUUCUCUGGCAGUUGAAUUGAAAGCAUCAAAGGACUUCUCUAAGUUAUAUGGAGGCAUUGCAAUACUUUGGCUUCACAUAAGCUUGAACCAGCCUUCUGUUGUAUAUUGUUUUUCUUCUUUUUUGAUCCUUUUCCUUUGAUUAAUGAGAGGUGAUGAUAAUUGGCAUUCUUUUUUCACGAGGAUGAAUUUUGUUUUAGAAAUUAUAAUACUAUGUGUU